Molecule: long non-coding RNA, 19955 nt
Organism: Loxodonta africana (African savanna elephant)
Lineage: Eukaryota; Metazoa; Chordata; Mammalia; Proboscidea; Elephantidae
Exons: 2
Source: RefSeq, a predicted model, not a curated record
UGGUUUGAGUCGGGUGCACCUUAGUCAUCAAAGUGACAUCUUUGUUUUUUAAUGCUUUAAAGAGUCUUUUGCAGCAGAUUUGCCCGGUGCAAUACGUCACUUGAUUUCUUGACUGCUGCUUCCAUGGGCAUUGAUUGUGGAUCCAAGUAAAAUGAAAUUCUUGACAAUUUCAGUAUUUUCUCCAUUUAUCAUGAUGUUGCUUAUUGGCCCAGUUGAGGAUUUUUGUUUUCCUUAUGUUGAGGUAUAAUCCAUACUGAAGGCUGUACACAGCCUUUGGUCUUAAUCAGUAAAGUGCUUCAAGUCCUCUUCACUUUCAGCAAGCAGGGUUAUGUCAUGUGCAUAUUGCAUGUUGUUAAUAAGUCUACCUCCAAUCCUGAUGCUGCAUUCUUCAUAUAGUCCAGUUUCUCGGGUUGUUUGCUCAGCAUACGGAUUGAAUAUAAAUAAUAAUAAUAAUAAUCUUUGGUUUUUUUUGUACAAAAGUUUGAAAGCACAGGAAAGUCUAGAAAGGAAUUAUGUUGACCAUACUCCUGUCACCGAGUUAUACUUCAUGUUAAGUUUCUGAUGUUUUUCCUUGUUGUUGUGUGCCUGUCGAGUCGAUUCUGACUCAUAAUGACCCUAUAGUACAGAGUAGAACUGCCCCCAUUGAAUCUUUUAGGCUGUAAUCUUUACAGGACCAGAUUGCCAGGUCUUUUCUCCUUUGAAACCGCUGGUGGGCUUGAACUGCCAACCUUUUGGUUAGCAACCAAGUGCUUUACCCAUUGAGCCACCAGGGCUCCUUAAUGUUUUCCCUUCUGGUCUUAUAUCAGUAAUUAUGUAUCUUGAUUUAAGCCCAAGACAGAGUCAUAUUUCUUUUUCCCCGUUAACUUUGUAACUGAUUAUUUUCUGUAACAAAAACUGAUUGUUUUACAUAAUAGCACCAUUGAAGACUUGUAAGUUUUCUAGGCGACUGCCUUGAAGAUAAUACUUGUAAGAAAAACCAAUCAAUCUUGUUAAACUGCCAAAGGUAAACAUUUAGUAUCUGAAGUUAAAGAUAUAUUUGUUUUAAAAAUAUUUUAUUGUUUUACUUUUAAUGUUUUUGGAGUUAUAAUUGCAUAGAGUGCAGUGGACACAUUUUCAGUGUUACAGUUUGGUGCAUUUGUCAAAAUACAUAUACCCAUGCACCCAUACCUGUCAAGAGAUAAAAUAUUUACAUUAUUAUCCCCUUUCAUUUCCUGCCCUCCUCCCCACAAUCGCCACUGAUUUCUUUCACCAUAGAUUAGUUUUACCUCUUCUCCAGCUUCAUGUAAAUGGACUCAUACAGUAUGUACUUUCCUUGCAAGGCUUCUUUAGGCCCAUGACUUGUUUUUGAGAUUCAUCCAUGUCGUUGCAUGAAUCAGUAGUUCAUUCCUUUUUGUUGGCACAUGGCAUUCUCUUGUAUGUAUACAAUUCUGUAUUGUGCGUAUGCCUUGGUUUACUUAGUCACUUUCUUGCUGAUGGGUAUUUGGGUAGUUUCCAAUUUGGAGCUAUCAUGAAUAAAGCUCUGUGAACAUUUUUGUAAAGGCUUUGUGUGGAUAUAUGUUUCAUUUCCCUUGGGAUAAAUAACUAGGAAUAGCGUUGCCUGGAUAAGGGUGGGUCUGUUUCUGGACUCUAGUUCCAGGGGUUGGCAAACUACAGCCCAUGGGCCAAAUCCAACCCAAGCCCUGUUUUUAGACCUCCCACAGCCUAAGAAUGGCUUUAUGUAUUUUUUAAGGGUUACAAACAAUAAUAAUGUGGGACAGACCAUAUGCGGCCCACAAAACCUAAAACAGUUACUAAUUGGCCCUUUACAGAAGUCUGAACUAUUAUUUGCCUGUUUCUAUAGCUUUACAAAAAAAAAAAAAAUUUUUUUUUUUAAUAAGUUUUAAAUCAGGUAGUAUGAGCCUCACAGCUCUGUUCUUUUUCAAGAUCAUUUUGGCUAUUCUGGGUCCUUUGGAUUUCCCUAGAAAUUUUAGAAUCAUCUUGUCAGUUUCUAGGAAAAACCCUGCUAGGCCCACAGUUAAAAUUGUAUUGCAUCUAUAGAUCAAUUUGGGGAGAAUUGACUUCUUAACUGGCUUGAGUUUUUCAAUCCAUGAAUGUGGUAUAUUUCUCCAUUUAUUAAGGUCUUCUUUAAUCCAGCAGGGUUUUAGAGCAGGGCUUCGAACUGGUUCGUUCCAGUUCAAUUUCCUGCUGAGAAUUUGCAUUUCAACCCCAAUAUACUGAAUCAGAAUCUAUAGUUUGACAAGAUCCCCAACUGAUUCUAUGUAUAAUACAUUUUGAGAACCAGUGAUCUACUAGUGGUUCUCAGAAUUGGUCCCUAACGAGCAGCAUUAGCAUCACCUGGGAACUUGUUAGAAAUGCAAAGUUUUAGCUGUUUUGGAGUUUUCAGUGAAAAGGUUUUGCAUGUCUUUCACUAACAUAUGUACAUAUAUUAUUUUUUUAGUGUACAAUUUAGUGGUUUUGGUAUUUUCAAAAGGUUGUGCAGCCAUUACCACUAAUUUCUUGAAUAUUUUCAAAACCCCGUGUUAUGGUUUGAAUUGUGACUCCCAGAAGUAAGUAUUGAAAUCCUGGCUGCUGUACCUAUAAAUAUAAGGGCAGUGGUGGUUGAGUGGCAGAGCUCUCAGCAUCCAUGCAGGAGACCUGAGUUCAGUUCCCAGCCAGUGCACCUCAAAUGCAGUCACCACUUAUCUGUCAGUGGAGCCUUUCAUGUUAGAUAUUGAAUAGGUUUCAGCAGAGUUUCCAGACUAAGACAGACUAGGAAGAAAGACCUGGCAAUCUACUUCCAAAAAUCAGCCAAUGAAAACCCUAUGGAUCACAGUGAUCCAAUCCUGUUGUACAUGGGAUCUCUGUGAUUCAUAGCUGAGUCAUUGCCACCUAGCAACAACAACAAUGCCAUAAAUAGGAUCCUGUUUGGAAACAAAGGUUUCUUUGUUAUGGUAAUUAGGUCAUACUUGAGUAGGAUGGGUUCUAAUCUAAUCACUUCUGAGUUAUAAAAAGAGCAGAAUGCACACAGACACACAUGGGGGGAGCAAGGAAGACAAAUACAUCUAUAACGAUUGCUGUUAGCUACUAGAAGCUGGUAUUCAUUGGAAAUAUCUUUUUUCAACAACAUAAAUGGUGACUGUACACAUAGACCUUGCAGGAUGGAAUACAUAGGAAUCAAAUCAACUAUACACCUACGCCUUAUUUAUCAACUAUUUCAUUAUCCAGCAUUCUACAUUUGCAACAGUGGUAGAAUAUCUAUUCUCUGGCUAUUUUGUGCAUUAAUGAGGCAGCGGGCAUGGUGGCAACAGCUACAGAGCAUCCCUUCCCUCAAAGAGAGCCUUUGGGCACCCUCAGAGAAGCUGGACUCUGCCAUCCCACGCCCUCUGCUUCCUCCUGCCAGGGGGGCACUCUGUCCAGCUGCCACAUGGGCUGGCCUCCUCCAGGGCCAUGGCCUCCGGGCAGACAUGUGAGUGGCACCGAGCCAGCAGGCACCUUUUCUGGGUUCCCAGCUCUUAAGUGGCCUGAGGCCCUGCAGCUCAAAAUUGCUGUGGGGUGGGAAGAUAGGAAAGAAAGAGACAUUGGAGAGGGUGUUUGGAAGAAAUGAGUGCAAGUUUAAUGACAUCCCAAAGUGGGCCAAACUGGGCCUGAAGCCUGUCUCCAUGGGGCCAGGUGCUUGGCCAGGCUCCCAGCACCCUUGCAGGAAGCCCCGAGUCUCAAGCUUAGGUGACUCACCAAGCCCAGAGGACAGAACAAGCUCCAGGAUCAUGAACGCAGGGCUUGAAGGGGUGGGAGUGGAACUCUAGAGGUGGCUCUGUGAGGGAAGCUCUGACCCACCACAGGUGGGAGGUGAAGUGAGUAAGCCUGGACCCUCCAGUCACACAGCCCAGCUUUAUCCAGCUGUGUCUCCUCCAGACUUCCUUUUCUGCGGAGGAAUAAUCCAUACCUGCACUCAUCACAGUGAUGAGCACGUCAGUAAAUCUGAGCCGUUAUUAUUUCUAUGAUCAUGAUUUCUAAAUAAAAUCAGACAAAUGGAUGGUGUGAAAAUAGGAAAAAAAAAUCCUCCGUUUUCACAUUAACACCAAUUUUCGCAUAAUGACCUGGUCUUUGGACCCUAACUGUGUGGGAAAGUAAGGAGUGGGUGUAUAUCUGUGGAAAGAGAUGAUGGAGAAUCUCAAUAUCAUCAGUCAGAACAAGGCCAGGGGCUGACUGCAGAACAGACCAUCAACUCUUCAUGUGCAAGUUCGAGUUGAAGCUGAAGAAAAUUAAAACAACUCUAUGAGUGUCAAAAUACGAUUUUGAGUAUAUCCCACCUGAAUUUAGAGACCAUCUCAAAAAUAGAUUUGACAUGUUGAACACUAAUGACCAAAGACCAGAUGAGUUGUGGGAUGACAUCAAGGACACCAUACAUGGAGAAAGCAAGAGAUCAUUAAAGAGACAAGAAAGAAAGAAAGACCAAAAUGGAUGUCAGAAGAGACUCUGAAACUUGUUCUUGAGCAUAGAAUAGCUAAAGUGAAUGGAAGAAAUGAUGAAGUAAAAGUGCUAAAAGGAAGAUUUCAAAGGGUGGCUGGAAAAGACAAAGUAAAGUAUUAUAAUGAAAUGUGCGGAGACCUGGAGUUAGAAAACCAAAAGGGAAGAGCACGCUUGGCAUCUCUCAAGCUGAAAGAACUGAAGAAAAAAAAAUCAAGCCUCAAGUUGGAAUAUUGAAGGAUUUUAUGCCAAUGCCUUCAGUGCAAAAAAAAAAAAAAAAAUUUUUUUUUUUUUUUUUGCACUGAAGGCAUUGGCAAAACAAAGGCUCCAGGAAUUGAUGGAUUUCCAAUUGUGGUGUUUUCAACAAACAGAUUUAACCACUGCACCACUAAGGCUUCUCUAGGUAACUAAGACGUCACAAAAAGAAGCCAUUAGUGGUCACUCCUCAUUUCUUCCUCCCCCCAGCUCCUGACAACCAUGAAUCUAUUUUCUGUCUCUGUAGAUUUGCCUGUUCUGGACAUUACCCAUAAAUGGAAUCAUACAACACCAUGAUCUUUUGUGUUUGCCUUCUUUCACUUAGCAUAUUGUCAAAGUUCAUUAAAUUUAACCCUAAAUUAUUUAGCUUUUUAAUAAUGUAAAUGAUGCAUUUUUUAAAUUUGUUUCUGGUAUUAGUAUGGAGAAAUGAGAUUUUUUUUGUGUGUGUAUUAACCUUUGUAUUCUGUGCAUUUACUAACUCCUUUAUUCUAGUACUUUUUUUGGUAGAUGUCUUAGAAUUUUCUAGGUCAUGUUGUCUGAGAGAAAAAGACAGUUUUACUACUCCUUUUCUAAUCUGUACGCCUUUUGUUUACUUUUUCUGGCUUUACUGCUCUACCUAGUAUGAUAUAUUUAAUUAAAGUGAUGAGAGCAGGCAUCCCUGGUCUUGUUCUUGACCUGAGGAGGGACGUAUUCAGUCUUUCAUUAGUAAGCAUGGCAUUAGUUGUAGGCUUUUUUAGGUCUCCCUUUAUCGGGAUGAGGAAGGUCCCCUUCAAUUCCCAGUGUGCUGAGUGGUUUUAUCAUGAAUAAUUGUUGAAUUUUCUCAAGUGGUUUUUUUGCUUCUGUUGAGAUAAUCACAUAGGUUUUCUUCUUUAUUCUGUCAAUGUAGUGAAUUACAUAUUUUCUGAAUGUUGAACCAGCCUUGCAUUCCUGCGAUAAAUUCCACAUGAUCAUGGUGUAUUAUGCUUUUUAUAGAUUGCUAAAUCUUAUGUAUUAGUAUAUUGUUCAGGAUUUGUGCAUCUGUAUUCACGAGGGAUAUGGUUCUAUAAUUUUCUUUCCUAGCAUUUGGCUUUCAUAUCAGGAAUAUACUGGCUUCAUAAAAUUACUUGGAAAUUUUUCCCUCCUCUCUCUUUUCUGAAAGAGCUUAUGUAAGAUUGAAGCUUCUGGACUACGAGCGUCCCUCAUGGAAAGGUUUUAAAUAAUGACUCAAUUACUUUAAUAGUUAUUGUCUGUUAAAGAUUUUCAUGUCUUUUUUUUUUUUUUUCAUACCGUGCACAAAUGAAACAUACACUUCAUUUCUACACAUGCACUUCCUUGGCAUUGAUUACAUUCUUCAAGUUGUGCAACCACUCUUGCUACCUUUCCUGAAUUAUACCACCACCGUUAACAUACAUUCGGUGCGUUCUAAGUAAAACCUCCACUUUCCCCGUUUGCCAUGCCUGGUAACCACUAAUUACUUAGGGUUUCUAUAUAUUUGCUUAUUUCAUAUUAGUGAGAUCAUAUAGUAUUUGUCCUUUUGUGCCUGACUUAUUUUACCCAGCAUAAUGUCCUCUGGGUUUAUCUGUGUUGUGGCAUACAUCAGGACUUCAUUCCUCUUUAUGGCUGAAUAAUAUUCCAUUGUAUGUAUGUACUACAGUUUAUCUGUUCAUCAGUUGAUGGGUAUUUUGGUUGUUUCUACCUUUUGACUACUGUGAAAAAUGCUCCAAUCAACAUUGGUGUACGUACGUCUGUCAGCGUCACUGCUGUUAGGUCUUUUGGGUAAAUACCUAAGAGUGGAAUUCCUGGGUUAUGUGGUAGUUCUGUGUUCAGCUUUUUUUGUUUUCCUUAGUGGCUGUACCAAUUUACAGUCCCACCAGCAAUGAAGGUAGGUUCCUGUUUCUCCACAACCUCACCAACACCUAAUAUUUCCUGUUUUUUGAUCAUUGCCGUUCUAAUGGGGAUGAGAUGAUAUGUCACUAUAGUUUUGAUUUUCCAUUUCUUGUGUUAUUUGGUAAUUCAUGUUUUUCAAGAAAUUUGUCUAUUUUAUCUCAGUUCUUGCAUAUAUUGGCAUAAGUAUGUUUGUUUCCCUAGUUUUUUCCAAUGUCUGUAGAAGCUGUAAUAAGGUGUGGUGGUUCCCAUCUGAUACUAUAGUUUGUGCUUUCUCCCCGCCCCCCCAUCAGUGUAGAUAGAGGCUUAUCAACUUGAUUGAUAUUUUCAACAAUCGACUUUUGAUUUUGUUAAUUUUUUUCUAUUGUUUGAUUUCUGUGUAAUUUUCGUCUACUUUAUUGGGUUUUCUUUGUUCUUUUUAGCUUCUUAGGGUAGAAGCUUAAAUCAUUGACUUUAGAUUUUUCCAGUAUUAAUAUUUGAGCUUUAAAUUUCCCUUUAAAUACCGCUUUGACUUCAUCCCAUAGAGUUUUGUAUGUUUUGUUCUCAUCAUUUAGUCAAAUAUUUUUAAAUUUCUCUUGUGGUUUCUUUGAUCUGUAGGCUGUCUAGAAUUGUAUUGCUUAAUUUUCAAAUAUUUGGGGAUUUUGCAGAUACUAUGUUGUUAAUGAUUUCUUAUUUGAUGCCGUUUGGUCAGAGAUCUCUGAUUUUUGUCUUUGAAAUUUAUUGAUUCUUGUUUUAUGUUCUGUCUUCAUGAAUGUUCUACAUGCACUCAAGAAGUACAUGCAUUCUAUAGCUGGUAGGGUAUUAGUGUUUGUGAAUGUCAACUAGGGUAAGCUGGUUGAUUGUAUUGUUCAAAUCAGGGCAAAUUUGCUGCUUAGAAUUUGCAUUUGCACCCCCAGAUAUACUGAGUCAGAAUCUGCAUUUUAACAAGAUCCCCCAGGUGAUUCAUAUGUAUAACUUCCUGGGAACUUGGUAAAAAUGCAAGUUCUUAGCAGGGGUUCCAACUGGAACAAAUAGGUGCAAAGCCCUCAUUCAAGUUUGAUCUGUCCUUACUAAUUUGUCUGUUCUCUCAGUUAUUUAGCAAGCAGUAUUAAAAAUAUCCCACAAUAAUUGUGAUUUUGUCUAUUUUUCCUUUAGUCAGAAGUAAAUCUGAGUUUUUGCUUCAUGUUUUUAAAGCCCUUUUAUUAGGUGAACACACAAUUCCUGAUGAAUUGAACCUUUUAUCAUUCCACUUUUUCUCUGCUAAUAUUUUUGCCUUGAAAUCUACUUUGUCUAAUAUUAGUAUAGCCACUCCUACUGUCUUAUGAUUAGUAUUUGCAAAACAUGUCUUUUCUCAUCCUUUUAAUGUACCUGUGUCUUUAUAUUUAAAGUAUCUUAUGAACAGCAUACAGUUCGAUUUUUUUUUUUUUUUUUUUUGGUCUUGGCUUAUUAGUAUUUUAUUUUAUAUCUUCUUGACAUUUUUGCUUUAUAUCUAUUUUCUCUUUUUUAAGUGGUUGACUCUAGGGAUACAGUAUGAUUCUUAACUUUUUACAGUCUAUCCAUGAAUUAUUAUCUUAUAACUUUAUGUAUAGUCUAGGAAUCUUAGCCCCUUUUGUACUAUUGUGGUCAUAACUUUUACUGCUGGCAUAUGUUACAAACACCACAAUAUGUUGUUGUUAAAUUUGUUUUAAGCAGUCAGUUAUCUUUUCAAGAAAUUAAGAAGUUAAAAAAAAAACUUAUUUACCAUUACUAGUGCUUUUCAAUAUUUUGUACAGAUCCAUAUUUCCAUAUGCUGUUCUUUUUCUUUCAGUCUGAGGAACUUCCCAUAAUAACAUUAUUGAUAGUGCAUCUGCUGGUGACAAAUUCUCUCAGCUUUUGUUUAUCUGAGAAUGUUUUUAUUUUACCUUGAUUUUUGGAGGGUAUUUUCACUGAAUGUAAAAUUCCAAUUUGACAGGGUUUUUUUUUGUUGAUGUUGGUGCCUUCGGGUCCUUCUGUUGUCUUUUAGCUUGCAUUACUUUUGAUAAGAAGUUUGUGAAUAAUCUUAUUCUUUGUGUACUGUAUCUUUUUUCCCCUGACUACCUUAAAAUUUUUCUCUUUUUUUUUUCAGCAGUUUGGCGGAGAAAUGCCUAUGUGUGGCUUUCUUUGUGUUUAUCUUGUGUGGGAUUUAUUAAGCCUCACCAAAUUAGGAAAUUUUCACAAUUCUAUUUAUAUAUUAAAAAAAAUAAUUUUUAGCAGCUUCACUCAAUUUAAGAGUACUGUGAUUUUUAGUAAAUUUAGAGUCGUAUAGCCAUCACCACAAUCAUCAAAUUUUUUAUUUCAGAUACUGUAUUCUUUAAUUCUAGAAUUUCCUUAUUGUUCUUUUUUGUAGUUUUCAUUUCUCUCCUGAGACCCCCCGUUCACUCAUUAUGUCCAUUUUUUCCUUAAAUCUCUAAAAGUAUUUCUAACAACUUUUUUAAAGUCAUUGUCUGCCAAUUCCAACCAGCAUCUCUGAAUCUGUUUCACGUAUGGCUUAAAAAAAAAAAAUUCCUGCUUAUGGGUCACAUUUUCUUACCUAUUCAUUAAUUUUUGACUGUGGAAUGUACAUUGUGGUUGAUGUAUUCACAAUAUAGGUUUUGUUGUCUUUAGAGAGUGUUGAGCUUUGUUCUGGCAGGCAGUUAAUUACUCAGUUAACUAGGUUGGUUUGGGUCUUUCAAGGCUUGUUUUUAAUCUUCAUUAGUGCAGGCCUUGAGGAGCCCUGCUCCUUAGACUUGGGUUUUUUGUGUCUUAGUUGAAUGCCUGGCGUGUUCAGCAAGGUCUUGAAUCUCCAGCUGGUCAGAACUCCUAUGUCCCCAGCCCGGUGCCAUCUCCGGAAUCUGUUCAGUUCACAGUUCCUUGCUAGUUCCUGCACAACUAGGUACUCACUGAAAACAUAAAAGGGAUCCAUGCCAAUCUCUUGAGCUCUUCUGACUAGCCAGUGCAUUAUUGGUACCACAAAUUCUAGCCACCCCAGCAGCCCCAAACGCCAUCCCUGCCCCCAGGUCAGCAAGUGGACUGUGCUCCUUUGGAGCUGCACCUUGGCCCACUGCAGUUAGAAGCACCUUGAACCAAAGGGGUUCUCAUGAAUCUCUUUCCUCUUGGGGUCAUGGUUUCAUGGUGCCUAGAGCUGAAUGUCUGGAAACCAAUUUUAAAAAAAUAAAAUGGACGUUUUAUAGCUAUAGAAGUGGGACAGAAUUCUUAGAAAAUUAGAUGUAGAACAAUAUAAAGAUAAAACAUCUCAAAAUCCCAUUCUCUAGAGGUAUUUACUGUAAAAAUGUUGGUGUUUGCUGUUUUCCUGAGAAUUGAUGGUAUGUUAUUUAAAACUCUUUUGAGGGGGUUCUAACGUUUAUGGCUGCUUCUGCUCUGUCAGUGCCACGCUGUCGGGAGGGGCACAGCAUGGCUGUCUUCCUCCUCCCCAUCCCAGCCAGGCCUCUCAAGACUGGUUACAUCAGCUCUGUCCUCUUCCUCUCUCCACCACUGUCCAACCAAGUUAAAAGUAAAAAUUUCACCUCCUUGUCAAGUUUACCAGGUAACUCAGUCUUGAUGCUGUUUGCCCUGUCAGUUAUCUUUGACACUGUUCUGCAUUCUUGCUCUCCUGAAGUGCCUACCCUGUCCCCACCUUUUCCUCCUGUCACUACUGGCUCUGUGCUCCUUCUGUCUUCUUGGCAGCUCUCUUUGCUGGGAUCUUUUAGUCCCUUUACCGGUAGGUAUCCUUCAGUUCUGCCUCCUGCCACCUUUCAACUCUGUAUAUAUCCACCACUUUCCUGCAUCCAGUCUCCUUCACAUCUAAGACAUUGAUUGCCACCAGUGCACCUCAGCCCCUAGUUACUGGUGGUGGCUCCCAGCAUGCUUCAGCCCUUAUAUGCUGGUGGUAGUUCCCAGUGUACCUCAGUCCUGUGUACUGGCGGUGGUUCCCAGCACACCUCAGCCCCUGUGUACUGGUGGUAGCUCCCAGCACACCUCAGCCCCUGUGUACUGGUAGUGGCUCCCAGCAUACCUCAGCCCCUGUGUACUGGUGGUGGCUCCCAGCAUGCUUCAGCCCUGUAUACUGGUGGUGGCUCCCAGCACACCUCAGCCCUGUAUACUGGUGGUGGCUCCCAGCACACCUCAGCCCUUGUAUACUGGUGGUGGCUCCCAGCAUACCAAGCCCCUUGUAUACUGGUGGUGGCUCUCAGAACACUUCAGCCCUUGUAUACUGGUGGUUGCUCCCAAUACACCUCAGCCCUUGUAUACUGGUGGUUGCUCCCAGCAGACCUCAGCCCUCUAUACUGGUAGUGAUUCUCAGCGCACCUCAGCCCUCUAUACUGGUAGUGAUUCUCAGCGCACCUCAGCCCUCUAUACUGGUAGUGAUUCUCAGCGCACCUCAGCCCUCUAUACUGGUAGUGAUUCUCAGCGCACCUCAGCCCUCUAUACUGGUAGUGAUUCUCAGCGCACCUCAGCCCUCUAUACUGGUAGUGAUUCUCAGCGCACCUCAGCCCUCUAUACUGGUAGUGAUUCUCAGCGCACCUCAGCCCUCUAUACUGGUAGUGAUUCUCAGCGCACCUCAGGUCCUGUUUGUCGCUGGUGGCUCCUACUCACUUCAGCCCCUUUCCUGUGCUUCAGAGCCGAACCUAUUCCUCUGAAUAUCACCUCUUCCUUUUCAACCUUUCAAACUCAACUCAUCCUCAUCUCCCCUCCUGCUCCUCCUCCUGACUAGCCAGUACGUUCCUGGUGCCACUGUCUUGCCACUUGAACCGUCCUCUACAUUGUGGGUCCUUAAGUUGUGUCCAGUUGAUGACCCAGUGAGCAGCACUUACCUAGAGUAGCAGUGAAAAUGAAUGCUCACUGGCCCUUUCCAUGUAUCAGGGACUGCGUGCUGUGCUUUAUGUGGGUUAACUCCUGUGCUUCUCACAACCAUCCAGUGAUGUUUCAGGCAUCCCGAUUUCACAGACAGGGAUGAGUACAGAGAUGUUAAGUGACUUGCGGAGGUCACACAGUAGAUAGGGGCCAGGAUUUGAAUGCAGACAGCCUGGCUUGCCAGCCUGUUUCAGCCCUCCUUCCUGAGUGCAGGUCUUCAGCUUCUCACCUGGACAGUUGCAGUCAUCUUCUAAUUGGUCUCUUCUACACAGUGGCCUGAAUACACACACUUCAACAUGGCAUUCUUCACAAAAAUCCGGGGUAGCUCCCAGGUGCUUUCAAUUAAAAACCCAAACUCCAGCGCCUGACACACAAGGCCCUUGCUGCACCCCUGAGCUCCAGCCCCUCUGGCAGUCCUGCACUUGGGCAGUGACCCCAAGUUCUCCCCUGCCUGUGCUCACAUGUGUCCCUGGGCUGGCUCUCCGGUGCCUGUGGAGUUCUGCAUUUUGUUGUGCUGUGAUUUCUUGGCCAGAAAACUUUGCUGAUUUGAAGGAACAAAUAGGAAUUUCUGGGGAGGUCAGAAACUGUGAGCCUGACUCUGCAGGCCAACCCCACCUCAGAUGAACUCCCACCACAGCAGCCCAUCAGCUUCUGAGUUUGGGUGGAGGGAUUUUCCUCCACCCCCAAGCGCAGGAGACGGGGCCAGGUUACUGGGUGCUUUGGAAGAAUCAUUGUAUCUAAGCCUUAAAGUUACCUUGUAACUACUAAAGAGAUGAAAAAUUCAAGGCUCAGAAAUAAAGUAAUUUACAUGGGGUCACAACUGGGAAGUUACCGCCCAGUAUUCAAAUCCACAGUCUGUGUAAAAGUUUCUGCCCUUUGUCGUUCUCUAGGGUGCUUUUCCAGCAGUGCAUACAUUUUAAGAACUAUUCCCCAGUCUGUCCGUGAACCUGUCUGACACAUUUUAGCAUAGACUAGGCAGUGCUUCACAAACUGGGAUGAGCUGCGAUCACCUGGGGAGUCUUCAGAGGCCUGGGGCCUGGGAUGCUGCCAUUCUAACAAGCUGUGAAGGCGUGCGGGCUGUGGCUGUGCUUCUUUGGGCACCGGGAGAUAAUCUCUGUUCUGAUGGCUCUUCUUAGCUGUGACAGCUUCUCAGACUUUCCUGGCUUUGGGUGACCUGGACAGUUUGGCAAGUACUGGGCAGGUAUUUUGUAAGACACCCCUCUGUUGGAAUUUGGUGGGUUUUUUCCCUCAUGAUUAGACUGGGGUGAUGGGUUUUAGGAGAAAGACUACAAAGGAGUAAACCGCCAGUCUCAUCACAUCAUAUCAGGGGUGCUUUUUGUCUACAUGAUUUAUCACUGUUGAUGCUGACCUUGGUCCCCUGGCUAAGGUCAUGCUUGUCAGGUUUCUCCAGUGUAAAAUUACCCUUUUCCUCCUUAUCCAUGCUGUACUCUUGGCAGGAAGUCACUGCACAGACUACACAUACACAGCUGGAGUUAUGCUCCACCUCCUUUAGGGUAGAGUAGCUACAUCAUUUAUUUGGAAUUAUUCUACAUGGGAGAUUUACCUUGCUUUAUAGUUUUUUAAUAAAUGAAAUAAAAUUUAACAUAGUGUCUUACAUAUGAUAUACUGAACAUAUGCUUCAUCUUUUUAAAAACUUGGCAUUAUUAAAAUUGAUGCAUAGAUUUGAUUCAUAUAACUUCUAUGUUAUGUUCCAUUAUAUGACUUUUUAAAUUCUUCCUUGUGUUUUUCUUCUAUUAUAAUUUUUCUCUACUGUUGCCCAUGCUUUUGAGGGUACAGACAACAUUCUGAAACGAAAACUUUUCUAGUGUCAGUGCCCCUUUUAAGAGGUGCAAAUAGCAGGUGUGGCAGAAUAUCAGAAACAGGAAGGCGUGAUGCAGUAAUUUUUCCAGUGAAGGCAUUUGUUAUUAGGUUCUGUUGGGUUAAUUCCGACUCAUGGCUACCUCAUGUGACAGGGCAGAACUGUCCCAUAGGGUUUUCUAGGCUGUAAUCUUUAUGAGAGCAGAUCGCCAGGUCUUUUCUUUCCUGCACCGGCUGGGUGGGUUCAGACCACCAACCUUCAGUUAGCAACCGAGUGCUUAACCGUUUGUGCCUCCAAGACUCCUUAAUAAAGGCUUAAAAUUAUAAAUUGAGUUUCACCCAGCCCUCUUAAAGACUUUGGUAAAACACAUUAUGCAUGUUCAAAUAUUACAUUUCUUGUUGACUCUUAGUAAAGGAAUAAGCACCUUUCCUGAACAUUCUAAUCAGACGAGCGUUCAGAGCACUCUUUAGAGCACCUGAUUGGGGCUAUGAAUUGAAUGUUGACGACAGUUUCCUGUCAACAUCAAUAUUUAUCAGUGGGUUAUAAUUGCGAGGCCAGAGUUCUGUGUAUAUACAUUUGUGCAUAUUAUUAUGUAUCGUAGGGUAAGAACACAGUGCUUUGGUUUGUGGCUUUUGAAAAAUGGUGCAUGAUCAGAAGUAAUGGGAUUGCAGCGUUUGCUUUGUUAUUUACCAAGUGGAAAGUUCGUGUACUCAAUAAUGAGCCAUAUUCUUCACUGCAUGUUUUUCUGCCAAGUAUAUGAAGAAUGAGCUGGAAAACAAGCUAUCUUAAAUCCUUUCUAGGACAGGGCAACAGAUAGCUAAUGCUGGGAAAGACAGACUUCAGACAUAUGUAUAAUAUCCUGCAGUCAUUGGCUUUGUAAGUUGUUGCCAUUAGGAUGCGACAACUUCUCAGGUUUUUAGAAAAUGUGUUCAUUUUAAAGAGCCGUGUCUUAUGUUAGAGAUUUUCUAUGCUUUAAUUUUGGAAAGUGAUCUUAAAGCCACCUCAGAUCGCACAGUGCUUGGUGGCUUUCAGAGCAUUGUCCCAUGUGCUGUCCUGUUGAAGUCAGAAACCGGAAGUCGUAGCAACCCUGUGUACAUGGCAUAUGGGCACAUGCGAUCUCAGUGACCAGCAACCCUACUGACCACAUGCGGGAACCAAGGUGGGGUGUCCAAGGAGAGAUUACUCAGUGCUUUUUUUACUGCCUGCAAGCCUGGCACAUUUUGCCUGGAGACGUACUGUAGAGCAGAACGUGCUGGCUUGUUUGGCUGUUGUCCUCUCCAGGUUGUCAGGGUGUGGCUCCACCUAGGUGUGUGGCCUCCACUUGUGGAUUCAUUGAGGGAAAGGUGUGCAGAGGUGGGAGUGGCCAGAAGACAGGAGCUGUCACUCAGGUCACGUUUGUCAGGAUUUGGUUGGAGAGGUCAUAGCAUCUUCCUCUCCUGUCUGUCGAUGUGAGUGAUGCUCCUCUGGACAGUGCUCACCUCUGGUGAGGAAUCUCCAGCAUCAACCAUCAGCUUCUCCCUGUCCUUUCCAUUCCUCAUGUUCAUUAUAGUUUAUGCCUUCCGUCUAUCAACUCUUUCCCAGCCACAUGGCUGGUCAUCUUGCUAUAUUGCUUGUGGACAUUCAGACUAUUUGGUGGACUCCUCCAGGCAUAGUGGGCAUCCAGGCCCCUUCCUGAGGCUGAGGCAUCUUACCGCAUUCUCAUUAGCGACGGGGCAAAGCAGUGGCCACUAAGAUAUUGGUGUCAUCAUCUAGCCUGCCUCCUGGGUCAAGAUCCCUUCUUUCCCUCUUCAGAUUCCAUUUGGCAGUUGGUGCCACCUGUUCAUGGUGCACCUCUGAUUUCCUGGUGACCCGCGUCUCUUACCUUGGACUUGUGGUAAUGUGGCCCUGGGUGCUGUUGCAGGUCACCACCCACUGUGCCGCCCCCCAGCAGAUGCCUAAUAGACAUCUCUUUCAUGGCUCAUUAGCCAUUUCUACUUCUGCUGUCCCAGAGAUAAGAACAUAAUUACUAAGAGCCUAGGGAGAACUAGGAGGCAAGGAGGCUUUAGGGAGGGAGCCAGGCAGGUGUGAGCAGUGGCAUGACUGGGGGGUGCAGGGGCUUCGUACCACAUUGGAUGACACUGUCAGAGGGGAUGACACCAAAAUGAUUAUAAAAUUUUUGUGCAGUGUUUCAGCAGAAAUUUAUUUUUUUUUAUAGAAAUAUCUCUGUAGUUGUAACAGCAUUUUUUGUAAGGCCAGCUUACAUGUAUCAGUAUACCUACAAGGCUAAAACACUAAUUUACUUUUGAACCUUCUAAUGCCCUCUCACCAGAACUGUCAUUACCCAGUUCACAUGGUUUUGUCUACAGACACUAUAAGCACAUACUGUUGUUUUCGUUGCUGCCAGUGUUUUCAUAGUCACUGAUUUUGUCAAGUUUUCUGGUAUUUUAGCUACAAUAUUGUGGUAAUUAGUAUUUGUAAACCUAUAUCAAUAAAUAUUUUGAGGAUGAAGUAGUAAUUAAAGGAAAAGAAAGAGUGAUGUAUAAGAAUUAAUGAUUUACGAGAACCAUUAGUGCAAAAAACAUUACUAAGGAUUCUGUGUGAUCUGGUACUGGAGGAGGUCCUAGGAGGGUGACACCAACCCUAGUGACACCACUGGGUGGGAGAGCUGCUCGUUGUCUCCUUGCCCAGAAAGACCUGCUUUUUAAAUAGGUACUGUUGAAUGACAAGUGCAUACACCUGGGAACUAAGUAAAUCCAGGCAAAUCCCUCAUGAUCCCAUCUCUCACCUCUUGCUCUCCAGAGCUCAGGUGCUAGAUAGAUUUCAAUGAAGUGGUAUUCCUCGCUGCCUGAACUGUGAACCAAAACCAAAAACCCACUGCCGUCAAGUUGAUUCCAACUCAUAGCGACUCUAUAGGACAGAGUAGAACUGCCGCAUAGAGUUUCCAAGGAGCGCCUGGCAGAUUUGAACUGGUUAGCAGCCAUAGCACUUAACCACUGCGCCACCAGGGUUUCCGAACUGUGAACCGAAUAGUUUAAAUAGUAGGGUAAAUUGUACCUUUGUUGUACCAAGAGUCAGCCAUGUGCUCUCUGAGGAGGUAAGCAUACGCUCUUAGAGCUAUGUAAGACUCGUUGUAUCCUGACUGCAUGUGGGCUGCGUUUGCCUCUUUGUCCCUCCUUCCAGCCGCCUUUGCAGAUAGUGGUGGUAGAUGUCUGCACCUCCCUCAGGCUUCUUUCUGGUCGCAUGUAUAAUACAUUAGAGCAAAAUAUGACAACAUACAGCCAGGACGAAUUUGACUUGAAUUACCACCCAUGAGUAAUCUUUGAUGGUCAUUAUUAACUUGAUCUAACAAGUUUUACUCUGUGUCUGAUGGUGGCUUACGUUAGUAUUUUAAGUACAGCCGUGCAGCCAAACAGUGGGUCAUCUUGUUGUCAUGGACAGUCAGAAUAUUUGACUAGAAAAUAGCUUUAAAAAAUAAAUUUUUAAUUUUUAGAAUAAAAUAACACUGUGUGAAGAGAAUUUGAGUAAUACAGAAGUAUAAAAAAGAAAAUAAAAAUCACCCAUAACCUCUCCAGCCAGUUGUCACUACAUUUUGAUGUUUUUCCUUCUUCCUUUGCGUUUACUGAAGAUUGUAUGUUGUUGUUGUUUAAACAGAAUUUACAAGGAGCAUUUUCCCUCGUCCGUAACGAGUGACUUUUUGUAGUAAAAGAACCAUUUUGCUUUUAAUAACAUCACUCCCACCUCAUGUUGAUUCUCCAGCUUUCAACGUUCAGAGCACUUUUACAUACAUUUUAUGAAAAAGGCCCGUAGUUUUACCCUGCUGUCUCCUAUUUAAGACACUUUUCCGUACCAAGUAUACUUUUGUUAGGACUUUUCACAACUUAGUUUUGGUUAGAGGUGGAGCCACAUACUCUUCAAACAGUGCUCCAUCUUCGAGUUUGUUUUUCAGUUGUAGAUGUGUGGCAGUUAAUCAGCAGGACCUGGCUGUAUCCACCCCAGUCCUCUUCUGCAGCUGAGGCCAGGAGUUAGAAAGGGGGAAGUCCCACCACACCCUGUGUGGACAUGGGCCUCACAGCUUUCGCCUGGGCCUGGCUGCCCGUGUCCCACCUGAUGGGACAUGAGGGUCCGCGGUAGAGCUCAUAGCCUUUAGUUUAACAACUUGUUGAGUUGUCCUCCCUCCAUAAUGAGGAGGAACCCAAACUCUCUGAGAUGUCAGGCUUCUUUCUCCUUUAGAUCUUACUAGAAGGAGUCUUGGACUCUCCUCCUUGAAGCCUCCUAUGCAUCUUUUAACCCAUCUUUAUUUCUUCUUCCCUGGAUUCCUGCAUUGCCUGUGUGUACACCACUUUGUUAUUUCAUUGCCUCCUCUGAGUGUUCUCGCUCAUCAGUGAGAGGAUUGUAAAGCCACGGGGGAAGGUACUUCUUUGCCUAACACAAGAGCUGUCUCGGCCGAGGGCUUUGGGUAAAUGCAUAGGUUGACCAAGGGGAUUAUUAGAGACUCUAAUCUGUCCCAUAGCUGAGCUGCGGUGCGAAUUAAAACUCCUCUAACAAAAGAGUAAUUCUCUGUACAAGGCAAUACCACAUAGUGCCGUUUCCUCAUCUUUUUUUCUCAUCUUUUUCCCUUUUCUCUCCAAAUCUUUUAUUGCCUGUUGUUCUUUCCUUCUCUUUCUCCAUUGCCACUGUGGACUUGGCAGUGUCUUGCUUUGAAGGAGUCUCAGUCCUAACGGGGCUGCUCUCCUACCUCAAAAGAUUUUAAAAAGUAAAAAAAAAGAAACCGGUUGUCAUCAAAUCAGUUCCCACUCAUGGCAACCCCAUGUGUGUCAGAGUAGAAAUGCACGUCAUAGGAUUUUCAGUGGCUGUUUUCUCAGAAAUAGAUUGCCAGAUCUUUCUUCUGAGGUGCCUCUGGGUGGACUUGAACCCCCAGGCUUUCAUCCUAGUGCUUAACCAUUUGCACCACCCAGGGACUCCAAAAAGAUAUUGGGAUUUGGAAGAAUUAGGAGAGAUAAACAACUUAAAUCUUAGUACCCAUACACUGUACCUUGGCCUAGCUGCCCUUUCUGUAAAAUGCUAUAUGGAGUGGCAUGGAGGAUGCAGAGCUGUAUAAAGCUGGAUCCUUCUUGCUGUGUGGAUGGCAAGGGAGUGCCCUACAAAACCCGCCAUCUCCACUGGCCACCGAUAGGGUCCUCACAGAUAGCAUUGCUGAGAUGUAGCUCCUCUAGUCCAGGGCUGGCACUUAGCUGUGCAGAGCCAGAAUCCUGGGUUGUGGGCUCCAGCAAGAGACUGCGUCUCCGGGGAGCUUAGCCCUUAAAUGACUCACAAACUGAUCAGAUUUUAGAAUCAGAAGGAACUUGAAAGAUCACCUGGCAGUAACCUCAGUGCUGCAUGUUUUCUAGAUGAGGGAUGCCAAAGCUUAGAGGGAGUGUGAAGCGUUCCUGCCUCACAGCUGGGUGGUGUAAUGGUCUCUGUGGAAUUCUGCCGGUGCUCUUGCUGAGGAUGGAUGCAUACUUCACCCUGAAGAGCUGGUGUGUCUGAUGGUGGUGACUUCUCGAGGCACCGCUUCGUUGCCAGAAGCUUCUAGGGCAGUGGGAUGGUGGGUACACAUGAGGCCCCUGUCCCAAGCCAAUGUCUGGUGUCCCUCAGUGUGUCAUGUUCUCUCCAAGUCACAUUCUGGUCCGUGCUUCUUGGAAGAUGUGUCAUCCGAAUGAAAUACCACGAGAGUGGCUAAAGAUGUUUUACCCACCCCAGUUAGGUUUUAUUGGUGCAGGGAAGGUAUUUAGAGUUGGGGCUGCAUCAGUGUUAGUGGCAUGUAGGGGUUCAGACACAUGCAUGGGGCUGCUUUGGGCCCCAGCCCGUUCUCUCCUGCUUUCUGGGGCAGCGGUCAGUGCUGUCUCCAGGUGUGCUUCCAGUGGCCACGGGCUGUUGGUGGCCUUGCAGUGAGUUGAAUGUUUCUAUGUGUUCUUUCUUUGCCAAGUCAUGGGCCUGGAAGGAUUCCAGGAGCAAGCGGGUGAUAGCAGACAACUGAAUACAGCUCUGUCUUUCCAUGAAAACUGCUUUUCUUGGCCUUCCUCCAACAGUGGUCAGUUGCCAGCAGAAAAUCCUUUUGGCUUUACAAAUGAUAUGGCCAUCAUCUGGGUUAGUUCUGGUUCUUUGUGUCAUUGAAAGGGAGGACUACUUCUGACUCUUACUUGGCAAUUUUUUUCUCCUGGCAUACUGAAUUGUGUUGUUUUACACACUUUAUAUGAAUCUGUGGUUUUAAGUGUAUACCAUUGUGUGAAGAAAGAUGCUUAAAGCUCCUGUUUAACAAAUGUCAGAUCAGGUGGAAGCCACAUCAGAUGGAGUGCUUAUAGCCCUGCCGUGGCUGGCUCACAAGCAGGAGUCUCGGCAGUUUAUUUUUUCUUGGGCCUGUUCUUUCUUGUUCUUUUUUUUAAAUGUUUUGAUUUGAAUUUCAACCCAGGAAGGUUAGGUUAUAGUGUUUUGAUUAUAUAUCAUUAUUGCUUAUGAUAGAUUUUAAGUUUGAAGUGACUAUUCUGAGUUUAUUGUUUUUAGAGCUGGUAAAUAAUCUAGGAUGAAAACUGGUAAUGUUUUAAUGUACUAGGACAAUUUGAAAAUAAAACAACAAAAACCUUUUGCCAUCUAGUUGAUUCCAACUCAUAGCGACCCUGUAGGACAGAAUAGAACUGCCCUAUAGGUUUUAAAAGGAGGAGCUGGUAGAUUUGAACCUUUUGGUUAGCAGCUGUAGCUCUUAAACCGUCGUGCCACAAUUUGGAAAUAA